CUGGCUCAGGACGAACGCUGGCGGCGUGCCUAAUACAUGCAAGUCGAACGGUCUUUCUAUGGAAGCUUGCUUCCACUGAGAAGAUAGUGGCGAACGGGUGAGUAACACGUGGGUAACCUGCCCAUAAGAGGGGGGAUAACAUCCGGAAACGGGUGCUAAUACCGCAUAGUUUUCUUGAUCGCAUGAUCGGGAAAGGAAAGACGGCCUUUGUGCUGUCGCUUAUGGAUGGACCCGCGGCGUAUUAGUUAGUUGGUGAGGUAACGGCUCACCAAGACGAUGAUACGUAGCCGACCUGAGAGGGUGAUCGGCCACAUUGGGACUGAGACACGGCCUAAACUCCUACGGGAGGCAGCAGUAGGGAAUCUUCCGCAAUGGACGAAAGUCUGACGGAGCAACGCCGCGUGAGUGAAGAAAGGUUUUCGGAUCGUAAAACUCUGUUGUCAGAGAAGAACAAGUUGGAGAGUAACUGCUCCAGCCUUGACGGUAUCUGACCAGAAAGCCACGGCUAACUACGUGCCAGCCGCCGC
Molecule: ribosomal RNA, 527 nt
Filed under: uncultured bacterium
Lineage: Bacteria
Description: bacterial SSU rRNA
Rfam family: Bacterial small subunit ribosomal RNA
Source: RNAcentral